CCUACGGGUGGCAGCAGUGAGGAAUAUUGGUCAAUGGACGCAAGUCUGAACCAGCCAUGCCGCGUGCAGGAUGACGGCUCUAUGAGUUGUAAACUGCUUUUGUACGGGGGUAAACCCCGCUACGUGUAUCGGUUUGAACGUAUCGUACGAAUAAGGCUCGGCUAACUCCGUGCCAGCAGCCGCGGUAAUACGGAGGAUCCGAGCGUUAUCCGGAUUUAUUGGGUUUAAAGGGUGCGUAGGCGGGUUGAUAAGUUAGAGGUGAAAUGUCUGGGCUCAACCCCGAAACUGCCUCGAGGACUGUGGGACUAGAGAAUAGGGGCGGCAGGAGGAAUGUAUGGUGUAGCGGUGAAAUGCUUAGAGAUCAUACAGAACACCGAUUGCGAAGGCAGCUUACUAAACUAUAGCUGACGUUGAGGCACGAAAGCGUGGGUGGCAAACAGGAUUAGAUACCCUUGUAGUC
RNAcentral lists this ribosomal RNA (460 nucleotides) under uncultured bacterium. RNAcentral's name for it is "partial 16S ribosomal RNA". It matches the Rfam family "Bacterial small subunit ribosomal RNA", at positions 338 to 795 of the family's 1533-position model. The record is from RNAcentral.